RNAcentral lists this long non-coding RNA (743 nucleotides) under Capra hircus (goat). Its description in RNAcentral is "lncRNA (ENSCHIG00000001238.1)". Lineage: Eukaryota; Metazoa; Chordata; Mammalia; Artiodactyla; Bovidae. The record is from RNAcentral.
AUGACCUGUGCUGUUUCAUUUCUUCUGCGCUUUCCCCGGGGAUCCAACAGACCCCUGUGGAGUUCCAGUCCUGGGACUGCCUCCUGCUUGCUUUCCCGCAAGCGUCAGAGCAGGGAAGGGGUUGAAGGGGAUAGAAGACGGGAAUCAACCCUCGUUACUCCUCCGAACGAUGUCACCCUUGACACUGGCUUCAUAUCCAUGUUGGCUGUAACCUGGAACACAACUUUUGGGAAACAAGCAAGGAUUAAUGAUAGGACUUAUUUCAAGACUCACACACAAGCAGAAGUAAGCAUGGAUCAUGAUGUUUAACUGCUACCAUAACGAGAAGUUGAAGAAGACAAUCAAACCUAGGAAACAGAUCCGGUUUUUCUUAGGUCUGAUGAUUAACUGGUGUGAAGUAUCAUUGAUGAUGUUGUUUUACUCCUAGGUGAUAAAAAUAAUCUUGGUUUGUACUUUCUCAGCAGAGAGUCUCUGGAGAAAACAGUUAUUAAUGCAAAGGAGUUACAUUAUUUUCUUUCAUGUGUAAAAGGGAUGAGUAGGACAGUUUGCUGGCAGGUAUGCCCAGGCUUGGAAAGAUUCAUGCUAGUGGAAUAAUGGGGGAUUCAGGAUUGAAACAGAGUGGAUAUUAUAAAAGGUUCAAGUUUUCACAUGUCAUUAACAAAACAGCUAUUGUAUGUGUUCAGUUUCCACAGUUCUUUUCUCCCACACUCCAGCUAUUUUGGGCUGAUAACAGUUAACUGAAA